This 491-nucleotide ribosomal RNA is filed under the name uncultured bacterium. Its description in RNAcentral is "bacterial SSU rRNA". It matches the Rfam family "Bacterial small subunit ribosomal RNA", at positions 32 to 518 of the family's 1533-position model. The record is from RNAcentral.
AACGCUAGCGACAGGCCUAACACAUGCAAGUCAGGGGCAGCACAAGGAGCAAUCUGAGGUGGCGACCGGCGCACGGGUGAGUAACACGUAUGCAACCUGCCUGUAAGCGGGGAAUAACCCGUUGAAAGACGGACUAAUACCGCAUAAUACUAAAUUACUGCAUGGUAAUUUAUUUAAACAUUUAUGGCUUACAGAUGGGCAUGCGCAUGAUUAGCUAGUUGGAGAGGUAACGGCUCCCCAAGGCAACGAUCAUUAGGGGUUCUGAGAGGAAGGUCCCCCACACUGGUACUGAGACACGGACCAGACUCCUACGGGAGGCAGCAGUGAGGAAUAUUGGUCAAUGGACGAGAGUCUGAACCAGCCAAGUCGCGUGCAGGAAGAAUGUCCCUAUGGAUUGUAAACUGCUUUUGCAGGGGAAUAAAGUGCAUCACGUGUGAUGUUUUGUAUGUACUCUGCGAAUAAGGAUCGGCUAACUCCGUGCCAGCCGCUGC